CUCCAGACUCCUACGGGAGGCAGCAGUGGGGAAUAUUGCACAAUGGGGGAAACCCUGAUGCAGCGACGCCGCGUGAGCGAUGAAGUAUUUCGGUAUGUAAAGCUCUAUCAGCAGGGAAGAAGAUGACAGUACCUGACUAAGAAGCCCUGGCUAACUACGUGCCAGCAGCCGCGGUAAUACGUAGGGGGCAAGCGUUAUCCGGAUUUACUGGGUGUAAAGGGAGCGUAGACGGCGAUGCAAGCCAGAUGUGAAAGCCCGGGGCUCAACCCCGGGACUGCAUUUGGAACUGUGUGGCUGGAGUGUCGGAGAGGCAGGCGGAAUUCCUAGUGUAGCGGUGAAAUGCGUAGAUAUUAGGAGGAACACCAGUGGCGAAGGCGGCCUGCUGGACGAUGACUGACGUUGAGGCUCGAAAGCGUGGGGAGCAAACAGGAUGAGAUACCCUGGUAC
Molecule: ribosomal RNA, 447 nt
Filed under: uncultured bacterium
Lineage: Bacteria
Description: bacterial SSU rRNA
Rfam family: Bacterial small subunit ribosomal RNA
Source: RNAcentral